UACGAAGGGUGCUAGCGUUGUUCGGAAUUACUGGGCGUAAAGCGUGCGUAGGUUGUUAUUCAAGUUAGUGGUGAAAUCCCGGAGCUUAACUCCGGAAUUGCCAUUAAAACUGGGUAGCUAGAGAGUGUUAGAGGUGAGUGGAAUUUCUAGUGUAGGAGUGAAAUCCGUAGAUAUUAGAAGGAACAUCAAUGGCGAAGGCAGCUCACUGGGUCACAUCUGACACUGAGGCACGAAAGCGUGGGUAGCAAACAGG
RNAcentral lists this ribosomal RNA (253 nucleotides) under uncultured bacterium. RNAcentral's name for it is "partial 16S ribosomal RNA". It matches the Rfam family "Bacterial small subunit ribosomal RNA", at positions 524 to 776 of the family's 1533-position model. The record is from RNAcentral.